This 73-nucleotide transfer RNA is filed under the name bacterium. RNAcentral describes it as "tRNA-Gly". It matches the Rfam family "tRNA". Rfam says of the family: Transfer RNA (tRNA) molecules are approximately 80 nucleotides in length. Their secondary structure includes four short double-helical elements and three loops (D, anti-codon, and T loops). Further hydrogen bonds mediate the characteristic L-shaped molecular structure. tRNAs have two regions of fundamental functional importance: the anti-codon, which is responsible for specific mRNA codon recognition, and the 3' end, to which the tRNAs corresponding amino acid is attached (by aminoacyl-tRNA synthetases). tRNAs cope with the degeneracy of the genetic code in two manners: having more than one tRNA (with a specific anti-codon) for a particular amino acid; and 'wobble' base-pairing, i.e. permitting non-standard base-pairing at the 3rd anti-codon position. RNAcentral also lists the same sequence under 3 other names. The record is from RNAcentral.
GCGGGAGUAGCUCAGUUGGUAGAGCGCAACCUUGCCAAGGUUGAGGUCGCGGGUUCGAGCCUCGUCUCCCGCU